AACGCAUCUUGCGCUCCUUGGUAUUCCGAGGAGCAUGCCUGUUUGAGUGUCAUUUGACCUUCUCAACCACAUCGUUCUUGUUUUGAAUGUGUGUGGCUUGGAUGUGGGGGUAAAUAAUUUUUAUUUUUUGCAGGCUUCAAAUCAAGAAGCCGGCUCCCCUGAAAUGCAUUAGUGGUGUCUGAGCUGCUAUUGGUGUGAUAAAUUAUCUAUGCCUUUGGUAAUGCUGGUCAGCAUCGCUUAUAACGGACGUUGUGAUCAUUUGACAAAUUUGACCUCAAAUCAGGUAGGACUACCCGCUGAACUUAA
This 306-nucleotide unclassified non-coding RNA is filed under the name Inocybe sp. RNAcentral's name for it is "partial contains 5.8S ribosomal RNA, internal transcribed spacer 2, and large subunit ribosomal RNA". The stretch from base 1 to 52 matches the Rfam family "5.8S ribosomal RNA", at positions 103 to 154 of the family's 154-position model. Lineage: Eukaryota; Fungi; Basidiomycota; Agaricomycetes; Agaricales; Inocybaceae. RNAcentral also lists the same sequence under 2 other names. The record is from RNAcentral.